Cannabis sativa is the source of this 801-nucleotide long non-coding RNA. RefSeq lists it as uncharacterized. The record is from RefSeq and is a predicted model, not a curated record. Lineage: Eukaryota; Viridiplantae; Streptophyta; Magnoliopsida; Rosales; Cannabaceae. The transcript is spliced from 5 exons.
UCAGCCCAAUAUUCAUCCUCUUCCCCAGUGCCCACACCUACCCCUCUCUCUCGUGCGAUUACCCCAACCAGACCCAAAAAAAAUUCCCCAUCUGAGGCUGGCGCGAGGUCCUCCCUCUCAGGCGGAGGCCGGUGCUUCUCCGUACGCGCAGCAGACUCGACGGCUGAACCAGGGUCCUUGUUUAUUGAGAGCAUGAGGCUGAGUGACAUUGAGAAAGCCAUUAACGUCGAGAAGCUUUGAGCCGAGUUUCUUAAAGUUCUUCCUAGCAGACGACGUAUCGAAGUGAGCAUUGGAUGUUGAUAUUAUUGGUGCCCGACUCUUAUUGGUUAUGUUUCAUAGAUCCUAAAAACUCACACUUGAGUAAUCGACCUGAUAUUAGAGAAACGGUCACAUUGGCAUUUCAAACUUACUACAGGGCGAUAAGGAAAGAAAUUCCACCGAAGCUAAAAGUUCGACUCCCAACUUGUCUACAUCAACCGGAAGACACCGAAUGUGGAUAUUAUGUAAUGAAGAUGAUGAAAGAUUUAAUUCAAGCUUCGAAUCGGAAACACUUUUUGGCCGAGUUAAACGAUGCAAAGUAUACAGAAGAAGAAAUUGAUGAAGUGAAAGAGUAUUGGGCAAGUGAGAUGUUAUCGGUUAUUCAAACUUACCGACGUUAGUUGUUUUUUGUUUUAAUAGACCAAUAGUUAUUAUUUAAUUUUAUAGUUAUGGAUUUAUUAGUAUAAUGAACUAAUAUGUAAUAUUUAUUAAUUUUGUUGAUGUGAAUUAUUAUAAUGGUCUAAUUUAUAUAUUUUUUAUUUA